Molecule: small nucleolar RNA, 112 nt
Organism: Beta vulgaris subsp. vulgaris (sugar beet)
Lineage: Eukaryota; Viridiplantae; Streptophyta; Magnoliopsida; Caryophyllales; Amaranthaceae
Source: RefSeq, a predicted model, not a curated record
AAACCAUGACGAGGACAUUCUCGGAUAUAUUGGUUGAACCGCUCUCAAGUUCACUCAAAGUUACAUCUUCAUCUUCAUCUUGAGAGAAAUUAGAAAUUUUUCUACUCAUUUU